GACGAACGCUGGCGGCGUGCUUAACACAUGCAAGUCGAACGAUGAAGCCCCUUCGGGGGUGGAUUAGUGGCGAACGGGUGAGUAACACGUGGGCAAUCUGCCCUGCACUUCGGGACAAGCCCUGGAAACGGGGUCUAAUACCGGAUACAACCUCCUUGGGCAUCCUUGGGGGUGGAAAGCUUCGGCGGUGCAGGAUGAGCCCGCGGCCUAUCAGCUUGUUGGUGGGGUGAUGGCCUACCAAGGCGACGACGGGUAGCCGGCCUGAGAGGGCGACCGGCCACACUGGGACUGAGACACGGCCCAGACUCCUACGGGAGGCAGCAGUGGGGAAUAUUGCACAAUGGGCGGAAGCCUGAUGCAGCGACGCCGCGUGAGGGAUGACGGCCUUCGGGUUGUAAACCUCUUUCAGCAGGGAAGAAGCGCAAGUGACGGUACCUGCAGAAGAAGCACCGGCUAACUACGUGCCAGCCGCCGCCGUAACAC
This 483-nucleotide ribosomal RNA is filed under the name uncultured bacterium. RNAcentral describes it as "bacterial SSU rRNA". It matches the Rfam family "Bacterial small subunit ribosomal RNA", at positions 28 to 526 of the family's 1533-position model. The record is from RNAcentral.